Long non-coding RNA from Acinonyx jubatus (cheetah), 4615 nucleotides. RefSeq lists it as uncharacterized. The record is from RefSeq and is a predicted model, not a curated record. The transcript has 3 exons. NCBI's taxonomy places the organism in Eukaryota, Metazoa, Chordata, Mammalia, Carnivora, Felidae.
AGCCCUGGAACACAAGUUGGACAGUUUUUAAAGGUCCCUGCGCUCGCCAAGAGAAGGAAAUAGAUGCUCAGGAGUGAAAUACCGAGAGAAUCGGAUCUGGCGCCUCCUAACGCAGCUGGCAAGCAGGCGAAGGUCCCGUGUAGAUUGAAGUAUCAGGGCAGCUUACAUACAGCCUGAGCGUCUGGCUUUGGGCAUUUGGGGAAGACUUUGCGAGAGUUCUACAUCUCCCUGAGCGAGGAUCUGAAGGAAACUUGGAACUAACAGGUGAGUUAAUUAAGGGGUUAACUCCAGGAGGCGAGUCCUAAAAGUUCAAAGAUACUUUCAAAACUUGCAUCUUUGGAUUGAUGGACAAGUGUAUUAACCAAUGGAAAUCAAACUCCAAGCAUUACUUCAUCAUGCUAAAUUGUCGUUGGUUGCCAAUCCCUGAGGGCCUGACAGCCCGGCUGGCAGUUAACCCUUUCAGGGACGAUCUUGCCCUUAACAUCAAUUUUAUUUUGAAAGAUGAAGUAGGGACGGGUGAAAAGCCUAGAAAGAUUCCCCGGAACUUCAAGUGUCCGUUUUGGAUCUCAGCCCAGCAGGUAGAGUUUCGCCCCACAAAGGAACACCCUGGGACAAAUUUCCUGGAGAAAAGUUUUGAACUUUUAAAAUUGGGAAUCAGCUGACCUUGUUUCGUGGGAGGAGAAGGGAAGGGAGAAGUCUGAUUCGCUUUUUGUGCUGUCAGAACAGCGACCAGUGUUGGAGCCAAUUCCAUUAAUCUUGCAGAGCAAUCAGUCACUGAGAGGAUUGAAUUGCAUUUCCUGCCCCAAAGAUGUAGAGACCGAUGACCUUUGCAGCAGCCCUCAGACCCCCCAGUUCACAGCUGGAGAGAGGAUGUGUCAGCAUUUACUUUCGGGUCUCACCCUGCCCUUUGUUCAAAACUCAAACUCUUUGUGCUCAGGCUGCUGCAGGGGUUUUUGUAGUUGUUGAUUUUGCCAAUUUUUUUUUUUUAAACCUCCCACGUCUUGGAACUUCUGAGAAUCAAACUCUCUAUUUAGCAGAAGAUAAUAUCUGGAGGUGCCCCCAGAGAGGGAACCAGAAUAGACACAGGGGAAUUUUAAGAGAGGCCAUUGGGCCUUUUGGCUUUCAUUACUGCCCCUUCCUGGGCUCCCUGAAUGCUGCAGGCUGAACUGGAUGGAGCCAGAAGCCCUGCAAGAGGACUAAAAAGCCUCGUGUGGACAUGGGUCUGUUACAGAAAAAACCUUUUACACACGUUACCUCGGGUAAAAAGGAACUGCUAGAACAAGAGCAUUUACAUAAAGGAACAUUCUAAAUUCCCAAAUCCAGUGAGCUAUAUGACCUCACACAAGGUGCCCAAACUGAGCCUCAGUUAUCCCAUCUGUAAAAUGGGGGUCAUAAUAUCAAACGUAUAAGAGCUACAGGAGGAUUGAAUGAACCAGUGUUCUGUAACAGGGUGGUGGUCAUGGUGUGUGUCUUCAUUAAAAUGAAGUCGACCUUCUCUCCCCAACAAGCCUUCAAAGUCUGAUCGCACUCAACUGUUUUGGGUUCUUUGAAUAGAGCUGCUUUCUCUCCUCCAGACCUUUGCAUUUGCUGAUCUGUGCACCAGGAAUUGUCUCUCCUGCCAGCCGUCCUCUCCAUAGCUCUUACUUAUCCUCUUGGAACCAGCUUUGAUAUCUUCUCUUUCCUGUCCCCCUCAUAAUACUUAUCACAUUUUCUUAGUGUUGCCUAUGCUGUCAGCACACUGGGAACCCUGGGGCUGUAGGGCCCCUGUCUGCCUCAUGCAUGGACGUAUCUCCUGCCUAGCACAGUGCCAACACCUACUCUGAAAGUACAUAUCUAAGCGUACCUGGGCUGGCUCAGUCAGUAGAGCAUGCAACUCUUGGUCUUGGGGUGGUGAGUUCAAGCCCUAUGUUGGGUGUGGAGCCUACUUAAAAAAAAGAAAAAAAAAGUACCCGUCUAAUGGAAAUCCAGCACCCCUACUGUGCCUCCCUUAGUCCCCAAAUUUCUCACCCUUCCAGAAAUCUAGGAGUAACAGUGCUGAGAUUUUUCUCUUGUCCUGGUUAGCCAUAUUACAACAUCCUUUGCAAAUGGAGUCCGUGGCUUUUUAACUCGCUUUGAAAUGCACUUCAUUAAUUCACCAAUUACUUAUUGAGUGCCUCCUAGAUUCCUACACAGAGCAGCCUUUGUAGGAAAGCCUGCUCUUCACCCUAUAGCACCUAUUCAUGGCACAGAGCAGGCCUUUCACCCUGGUGAGGCCAGGAUGCUCUGAAAUGGAAUGGGCAGUUGGCUCUUACCCCAACCCAAAGAGAGGGAUCUCAGAGACCACCCCUUGCAAAUUGAGAGCAGGUAAGUUUGCCCAGCUUACCCUAGCACAAAGCUCUUUCCAUUCAGAAUACUUGUCAUAAUUAUAAUAAAAUACUCAUGUGUGAACAGUCUAUUGUCUGGCUCUCUCUUUUAAAGGAAAUGUCCUGGGGCCCCUGGAUGGCUCAGUCGGUUAAGCUUCCAACUUUGGCUCAGGUCAUGAUCUAUGAUCUCAAAGUUCGUUGGAUGUCAACUCCACAAAGCGGCAAUUUUAAUCUUUUCUGUCCACCUCUGUACCCCCACACCUGUCAAAUAGAACUGAACCCAUGAGAUUCUCAAUAAAUAUUUGUUGAAUAAAUGAAUGGAUGGAUGCAAAGUGAUUAGCACUUGGUAAGUGCCCCAUAAUGAUCGCUAGUUUACCAUUGUGAUUAAGCACUCAGUCUCUGGAAUCUAACUGAAAGCGGAAUAAUUGAGGCAGGAGAAAUUUAGCAUCACGAUAGGAUGUUGGCACUCAAGCUGAGAAAUCCUGUGUGCAUCAUUUACUAGCUGUGUAAUCUGGUACAAGUGACUUUGCUUUCCUAAGUAAGGCUCAGUUUUCUCAUCUGUAAAAUGGAGGUAAUAAUAGCACCUCCCUGGUAGGAUGUGAAGAUAGGAUAAGAUGGUAAUGUAAAGCAUUUAGUAGAGUGUCUGGUAUAUAGUAAGUGCUCAAUAAACAGUGAUCAUCAUUAUUCAUUAUAGUAAUACUCAGAUGAGAGGUGAUGUCUAAGUCAAUUAAACCAUUGCUAAGCACUCAAAUAUGUCAGGGUCUAGCAGGCUUAAUUAAUGUUUAUUGACCUCGAUCUGUGAGCUCCUCAAGGAAAGAGAUUGUGUUUACAUUGUCAUGAUCUUGGCCUACAGUAGAUAUAUGAAGACAUGCUGGAAAAAUUACAUUCUGGACUCAAAUAUCAGUGAGAACAUGGAAGAGCUACUAGAAUAAUAAGGAUACCAACGUCCUACUAUGCACCAGGCACAAUAUUGGUUGCUGGAGAUAAGGCAAUGAGCUCAAACAAACAUUGUGGCUAUGACUUUCAGGCUAGUGAAACUUAGCAGAGUUGACAGACUUUGUUCCAAUAAUUGCACAGACAGAUGGAACAUUGCAACUAAGUGUAUCAUGACAAGGAGGUAUAGGAGGCUCUGACAUAUAGAAUGUGGGCAUGGAGAGGAUGGGGUUGACCUGGUCUUGGGUUGAGGAGGAAGUCAAGGAGCUUCUCUCAGCAUAGAGCUGAGCCCCGUGGAAAGAAGAGGUCUUGGCUAGGCUGAGGGUAGGGGAAGUGUUCUCAGCAGAAAAAAUAGCAGAGGUAGAGGCCUUAUGAUGGGGGAGUCCAUGUACUAAAGGAACUGAAAGAAAGCCUGGAUGAUCCCAAUGUAGUGAGCUGAUGGCAAGGGACAGGGGUGAAAUAAACUGGAAAUAGAAGUCGGCACUUUGGAAAUUAAUUGGGCAAUGUGUGGUAAAGCUGAAAGAGUGUACAACCUAUGAUCCAGCAAUUCCAACUCUAGGAACAUUCUAGAGAAACAGCCACGAGUGCGCUGGGAAGGAUGAACAAGGAAGUUAGCCCUAGCCGCAUUGUAUGCAGUCUCAAAAAAACAGUGAAACAACCCAAAUGUUCAUCAACAGGAGAAUGGACAAAUUGCAGAAUGUUUUCCUUGGGUUCCUCAGAAAGCAGUCUGCACCAAAAGUUAGUGUAGUACUCCUUUAUCGGAGAAUGCAGUCCUGAGGAAGCAAGAGAGAGGAAAAGGGGCAGUGAGACAGGGAAAGAGGGUGAGUCAGUAUGAGGGUACCAAGGAGUGGCCAUAUUUACCACAGCAUCUUGGACAGUUCUGGGGGUCAGAAGAAGGGAAGAGAAUUAUCUGCUGGCUCCUGGUCCAACGUUUGCCCCAUGGGGUGUAAACCACCCCCUACUUGGAGAUUACCCAUGUGUAAGCACCUCAGACGCCCCUUAGUGCUGCACAUGUCUGCCACAAGGAGAAGCCCGAGAUGGAAUCUAGUUGGCCAGAGCCCACACAGAAUCGGUCACCGUGUAAGGGUCAGGAUGGAACAGGUCACCAAGGGAGAUUGUCUGAGAAGGCAGGCUGAGAAGAGCUGAGGAGGCCUGUGACGUAUGUGAUGUAAUACCAAAUAGUAUACAGCAGUGAAAGAGAGGUAUAGCUGCGUACGUGCACAUGAAGACUAGCCAAACAAUGUUGAGUUGAAAGGCAAGUUGCAGAAGAAGGUACAAGGUAAAGUUUAUUUAUAUAAAGUUCAAAAAGAAGCCAGUGUAGACAACAUGUAUAAAAAAGC